GUUUAUAUCUAAUAAACAGUCAAUAUUGGCCUGAAGUUGCAAAACAGAUCUAAGAUAAUAUCAGGAAGGUUUUUCUCUGAUUUCUCUGGAGGUUUCCUUUAAAACUAGGCUUCAAAUCAGAGCAGGCCAGCUACAGGGAGGUCUGGACUCAGCUGGACUGGCAGCUCAUUUGAACUGGUAUUUAUCUUCCUAAUGCAUGUUAAUCCAUCUCUGACAGUAGGAUGCAGACCACGGCACGUCUCUGACAUUUUCUCCCGAGUCGAUAUCCCCCCCCUCCACUCCCCGCCUCCCUGAGAUGCUUCCUCUGCAGACCGAUCAAUAAGAGUAUCCUCUGGGCUUAAUGACCAUGAGGACCUGCUCGGGGAUCCUGGUUAACUUGUUUAUCUUAAAACACAGCGCGAAUCGGUGCGGGAUAAAUAUUUGUGUUUGUUCCAGCA
Molecule: non-coding RNA, 437 nt
Organism: Neolamprologus brichardi
Lineage: Eukaryota; Metazoa; Chordata; Actinopteri; Cichliformes; Cichlidae
Source: RefSeq, a predicted model, not a curated record